RNAcentral lists this ribosomal RNA (745 nucleotides) under uncultured Bacilli bacterium. RNAcentral describes it as "bacterial SSU rRNA". It matches the Rfam family "Bacterial small subunit ribosomal RNA", at positions 28 to 740 of the family's 1533-position model. Lineage: Bacteria; Bacillati; Bacillota; Bacilli. The record is from RNAcentral.
GACGAACGCUGGCGGCGUGCCUAAUACAUGCAAGUCGAGCGAGCGGAACCAACAGAUUUACUUCGGUAAUGACGUUGGGAAAGCGAGCGGCGGAUGGGUGAGUAACACGUGGGGAACCUGCCCCUAAGUCUGGGAUACCAUUUGGAAACAGGUGCUAAUACCGGAUAAUAAAGCAGAUCGCAUGAUCAGCUUUUGAAAGGCGGCGUAAGCUGUCGCUAAGGGAUGGCCCCGCGGUGCAUUAGCUAGUUGGUAAGGUAACGGCUUACCAAGGCGACGAUGCAUAGCCGAGUUGAGAGACUGAUCGGCCACAUUGGGACUGAGACACGGCCCAAACUCCUACGGGAGGCAGCAGUAGGAAAUCUUCCACAAUGGACGCAAGUCUGAUGGAGCAACGCCGCGUGAGUGAAGAAGGUUUUCGGAUCGUAAAGCUCUGUUGUUGGUGAAGAAGGAUAGAGGUAGUAACUGGCCUUUAUUUGACGGUAAUCAACCAGAAAGUCACGGCUAACUACGUGCCAGCAGCCGCGGUAAUACGUAGGUGGCAAGCGUUGUCCGGAUUUAUUGGGCGUAAAGCGAGCGCAGGCGGAAAAAUAAGUCUAAUGUGAAAGCCCUCGGCUUAACCGAGGAACUGCAUCGGAAACUGUUUUUCUUGAGUGCAGAAGAGGAGAGUGGAACUCCAUGUGUAGCGGUGGAAUGCGUAGAUAUAUGGAAGAACACCAGUGGCGAAGGCGGCUCUCUGGUCUGCAAC